GACGAACGCUGGCGGCGUGCCUAAUACAUGCAAGUUGAGCGAUGAAGAUUGGUGCUUGCACCAAUUUGCAGAGCAGCGAACGGGUGAGUAACGCGUGGGGAAUCUGCCUUUGAGCGGGGGACAACAUUUGGAAACGAAUGCUAAUACCGCAUAACAACUUUAAACAUAAGUUUUAAGUUUGAAAGAUGCAAUUGCAUCACUCAAAGAUGAUCCCGCGUUGUAUUAGCUAGUUGGUGAGGUAAAGGCUCACCAAGGCAAUGAUACAUAGCCGACCUGAGAGGGUGAUCGGCCACAUUGGGACUGAGACACGGCCCAAACUCCUACGGGAGGCAGCAGUAGGGAAUCUUCGGCAAUGGACGAAAGUCUGGCCGAGCAACGCCGCGUGAGUGAAGAAGGUUGUCGGAUCGUAAAACUCUGUUGGUAGAGAAGAACGUUGGUGAGAGUGGAAAGCUCAUCAAGUGACGGUAACUACCCAGAAAGGGACGGCUAACUACGUG
This 497-nucleotide ribosomal RNA is filed under the name uncultured bacterium. RNAcentral describes it as "partial 16S ribosomal RNA". It matches the Rfam family "Bacterial small subunit ribosomal RNA", at positions 28 to 507 of the family's 1533-position model. The record is from RNAcentral.